UGGCAGACGGGUGAGUAACGCGUGGUCAACCUACCUUCGAUGGGGGAUAACUAGCCGAAAGGUUAGCUAAUACCGCAUAAAACAUGCCGGGGCAUCCCGGAAUGUUAAAAUGAGCAAUCAGCUUGAAGACGGGACCGCGUCCCAUUAGUUAGUUGGUGGGGUAACGGCCUACCAAGACUCCGAUGGGUAGCUGGUUUGAGAGAGCGACCAGCCACACUGGGGCUGAGAAACGGCCCAG
RNAcentral lists this ribosomal RNA (238 nucleotides) under uncultured bacterium. RNAcentral describes it as "partial 16S ribosomal RNA". It matches the Rfam family "Bacterial small subunit ribosomal RNA", at positions 96 to 334 of the family's 1533-position model. The record is from RNAcentral.